Molecule: long non-coding RNA, 1166 nt
Organism: Drosophila pseudoobscura
Lineage: Eukaryota; Metazoa; Arthropoda; Insecta; Diptera; Drosophilidae
Exons: 2
Source: RefSeq, a predicted model, not a curated record
CAAGGCACCAAACAAUAACAAAAAACCCAAACAACGAACUGCAAAAACUAAAACAGCAGCAACAACAACAGCAAGAGUGUGUGGUGCCAGAGGAGCAAAGAGAGCCAAACAAAAAUAUAUUGUACGAUUCAAGUACCGUUGCCGUAGAGUAGUCGUGGAAUAGAAGGGGAGGCAAGAGCAGUAAAGUGUGAUAAAAUGUCAUUGAAAUGUCAAAUAAAUGAAAGAAUGUCCAAAGAGUGGGGGGGGGGGGGGAGGCGCAAGAUCAUUUCACUUUCGAGGCCUGCCUGCAGUUUUUACAGCAUUUAAUGGCAAAAUCAUCAGAUUUUAGGAGAGAGAUAGGGAGAGAGAGAACAGUUAAAAAAGAGCAGGAGGAACACAAAUGGAGGCUUGUGUUAGAGAGAGAAAGAGCAAAUGCUACGCAAAUAUGAGGACAAGGUGAUGACAUACAUACUACUCCAUCCAAUUCAGAAAUCUUUCUUUGUGGCUUCGAUCUAUGUGUGGAUUAUCCAUAGGCUAUCCAGCCUCUUGAGCCGACCCCCCCGGGUCUUGGAACCGAUUCGCAGCGUCCUUAUAUCUUUAUAGGCAUCUCAGGAGCAGGCUUUUCGAUUCCCAUCGCUAGGAAUCGUUGCAGCAAUCAUCACUCUCGCAAAGAGUGGGGCACAGCCGUAAUUAUCACACCCCCCGCACUCCCCUUCUGCUCGUGGAAAAUCUCUGCUGGAAAAUCUGUGUAAAAUCUGAUAUCAACAUGGAAACUGUCGGCCCGUCUCCGGUGUCAACCCUCGUCGCAUUGCCUGUUUCUGCUCCCUGCCGCAUGCCGCAUGCCACAUGCCAGUGGCAGUGCCUCUCUGAUGGCUUUGUUCUUUGUGUUGUCAAACUGUCAGGAUGGCGAUUUGCUGCCGCACAAUUGAUACAUUGAUAAAUGAUGUUCCCAGGAGGCAAUCUCGCAGGAUCUCCACCUCUUCUCCUCCUUCUACUGCUCGAUUCAUGCCACUUGGACGCUAAUUUUGUGUGACAAACAAUACUCUCUCUCUCGCUCUCUCCCUCGCUGGGAACGUGAGACGAUUUUCGAUUGUGGGGCACGGACUUAAUGGGGUUUUGUCAUGCAAGGAGCACAUUUGCUGCCGCAUUCUUGUGGCAAUUAAAAGGAUAUUAGUAGCCAUGUAAUA